RNAcentral lists this ribosomal RNA (253 nucleotides) under uncultured bacterium. RNAcentral describes it as "partial 16S ribosomal RNA". It matches the Rfam family "Bacterial small subunit ribosomal RNA", at positions 524 to 776 of the family's 1533-position model. The record is from RNAcentral.
UACGGGGGGUGCGAGCGUUGUCCGGAAUCACUGGGCGUAAAGGGCGCGUAGGCGGCCCUCCUUGUCGCGUGUGAAAGCCCCGGGCUCAACCUGGGAACGGCGCGCGAGACGGGGGGGCUGGAGUUCGGGAGAGGAGCGUGGAAUUCCCAGUGUAGAGGUGAAAUUCGUAGAUAUUGGGAAGAACACCGGUGGCGAAGGCGGCGCUCUGGACCGAGACUGACGCUGAGGCGCGAAAGCGUGGGGAGCAAACAGG